UACGAAGGUCCCGAGCGUUGUUCGGAAUCACUGGGCGUAAAGGGAGCGUAGGCGGCGUGGUAAGUCAGAUGUGAAAUCCCGGGGCUCAACCCCGGAACUGCAUCCGAUACUGCCAUGCUAGAGUGAUGGAGAGGUAGCUGGAAUUCUUGGUGUAGAAGUGAAAUGCGUGGAGAUCAAGAGGAACACUCGUGGCGAAAGCGAGCGACUGGACAAGUACUGACGCUGAGGCGCGAAGGCCAGGGUAGCGAAAGGG
RNAcentral lists this ribosomal RNA (253 nucleotides) under uncultured bacterium. RNAcentral describes it as "partial 16S ribosomal RNA". It matches the Rfam family "Bacterial small subunit ribosomal RNA", at positions 524 to 776 of the family's 1533-position model. The record is from RNAcentral.